GAUGAACGCUAGCGGCGUGCUUAACACAUGCAAGUCGAACGAUGAAGCCCAGCUUGCUGGGUGGAUUAGUGGCGAACGGGUGAGUAACACGUGAGUAACCUGCCCUUAACUCUGGGAUAAGCCUGGGAAACUGGGUCUAAUACCGGAUAGGAGCGUCCACCGCAUGGUGGGUGUUGGAAAGAUUUAUCGGUUUUGGAUGGACUCGCGGCCUAUCAGCUUGUUGGUGAGGUAAUGGCUCACCAAGGCGACGACGGGUAGCCGGCCUGAGAGGGUGACCGGCCACACUGGGACUGAGACACGGCCCAGACUCCUACGGGAGGCAGCAGUGGGGAAUAUUGCACAAUGGGCGCAAGCCUGAUGCAGCGACGCCGCGUGAGGGAUGACGGCCUUCGGGUUGUAAACCUCUUUCAGUAGGGAAGAAGCGAAAGUGACGGUACCUGCAGAAGAAGCACCGGCUAACUACGUG
RNAcentral lists this ribosomal RNA (466 nucleotides) under uncultured bacterium. RNAcentral describes it as "partial 16S ribosomal RNA". It matches the Rfam family "Bacterial small subunit ribosomal RNA", at positions 28 to 507 of the family's 1533-position model. The record is from RNAcentral.